This 541-nucleotide ribosomal RNA is filed under the name Campylobacter sp. S1W 5. Its description in RNAcentral is "bacterial SSU rRNA". It matches the Rfam family "Bacterial small subunit ribosomal RNA", at positions 56 to 614 of the family's 1533-position model. Lineage: Bacteria; Pseudomonadati; Campylobacterota; Epsilonproteobacteria; Campylobacterales; Campylobacteraceae. The record is from RNAcentral.
UGCAGUCGACGAUGAAGCUUCUAGCUUGCUAGAAGUGGAUUAGUGGCGCACGGGUGAGUAAGGUAUAGUUAAUCUGCCCUACACAAGAGGACAACAGUUGGAAACGACUGCUAAUACUCUAUACUCCUGCUUAACACAAGUUGAGUAGGGAAAGUUUUUCGGUGUAGGAUGAGACUAUAUAGUAUCAGCUAGUUGGUAAGGUAAUGGCUUACCAAGGCUAUGACGCUUAACUGGUCUGAGAGGAUGAUCAGUCACACUGGAACUGAGACACGGUCCAGACUCCUACGGGAGGCAGCAGUAGGGAAUAUUGCGCAAUGGGGGAAACCCUGACGCAGCAACGCCGCGUGGAGGAUGACACUUUUCGGAGCGUAAACUCCUUUUCUUAGGGAAGAAUUCUGACGGUACCUAAGGAAUAAGCACCGGCUAACUCCGUGCCAGCAGCCGCGGUAAUACGGAGGGUGCAAGCGUUACUCGGAAUCACUGGGCGUAAAGGGCGCGUAGGCGGAUUAUCAAGUCUCUUGUGAAAUCUAAUGGCUUAACC